GUCGAGAGGUCCUGCGCCGAAAAUGUCCGGGGCUGAAACACGACACCGAAGCUUAGGAAUCGCAUAGUGAUUGGUAGAGGAGCAUUCUUAAAACCGACGAAGCUGUACCGGAAGGAGCAGUGGAGGGAUAAGAAGAGAGAAUGCCGGAAUGAGUAGCGAGAGAAAGGUGGGAAUCCUUUCGGCCGAAUAUCUAAGGUUUCCAGAGUAAAGCUGAUCUGCUCUGGGUAAGUCGGGGCCUAAGCACAGGUCGCAAGACGUAAGCGAUGGAUAACAGGUUUAGAUUCCUGUACCACGCAUUAUCAGAACUGUAGGGACGCAUGUGGAAAGCACGAGCCGGGAAUGGAAAGACCGGUACAAGCGGGGUAGGUGUACAAUAGGCAAAUCCGUUGUAUAAUCCGAAGACGUGAUGUGGAGCGAAAUAAAGUAGUGAAGCGUGUGAGCCAUGUGCCGAGAAAAGCUGCUAUUGUGUAAUGCGUGCCCGUACCGUAAACCGACACAGGUGGAUGAGGAGAGAAUCCUAAGGCCGACGGAAGAAGCAUUGUUAAGGAACUCGGCAAAAUGACCCCGUAACUUCGGGAGAAGGGGUGCCCUCUUCAGGGUGGGCCGCAGAGAAUAGGCUCAAGCAACUGUUUAGCAAAAACACAGGUCUAUGCGAAACCGAAAGGUGAGGUAUAUGGGCUGACGCCUGCCCGGUGCUGGAAGGUUAAGAGGAGAGGUUAGCGCAAGCGAAGCUUUGAAUUUAAGCCCCAGUAAACGGCGGCCGUAACUAUAACGGUCCUAAGGUAGCGAAAUUCCUUGUCGGGUAAGUUCCGACCCGCACGAAAGGCGUAAUGAUUUGAGCACUGUCUCGACAAUGCAUCCGGUGAAAUUGAAGUACCAGUGAAGAUGCUGGUUACCCGCGCCAGGACGGAAAGACCCCAUGGAGCUUUACUCCAGUUUGAUACUGGGAUUCGGUACUGCAUGUACAGGAUAGGUGGGAGACGAAGAAGGAUGGACGCCAGUCUGUCCGGAGUCGCUGUUGGGAUACCACCCCUGUAGUACUGGGUUUCUAACCAGUUGCCAUGAACUGGCAAUGGGACAAUGUCAGGCGGGGAGUUUGACUGGGGCGGUCGCCUCCGAAAGGGUAUCGGAGGCGCUCAAAGGUUCCCUCAGAAUGGUUGGAAACCAUUCGAAGAGUGCAAAGGCAGAAGGGAGCUUGACUGCGACACCGACGGGUGGAGCAGGUACGAAAGUAGGACUUAGUGAUCCGGUGGUAUAAAGUGGGAUUGCCAUCGCUCAACGGAUAAAAGCUACCCUGGGGAUAACAGGCUUAUCACUCCCAAGAGUUCACAUCGACGGAGUGGUUUGGCACCUCGAUGUCGGCUCAUCGCAUCCUGGGGCUGUAGUAGGUCCCAAGGGUUGGGCUGUUCGCCCAUUAAAGCGGUACGCGAGCUGGGUUCAGAACGUCGUGAGACAGUUCGGUCCCUAUCCGGCGCGGGCGGAGGAUAUUUGAGAGGAGCUGUCCUUAGUACGAGAGGACCGGGAUGGACGGACCACUGGUGUAUCUGUUGUCGACCAACGGCAUGGCAGAGUAGCCAAGUCUGGAAGGGAUAAACGCUGAAGGCAUCUAAGCGUGAAGCCCCCCUCAAGAUGAGAUAUCCCUCCUUCGGGAGUAAGACCCCUUGA
Molecule: ribosomal RNA, 1665 nt
Filed under: metagenome
Description: bacterial LSU rRNA
Rfam family: Bacterial large subunit ribosomal RNA
Source: RNAcentral